UACGUAGGAUGCAAGCGUUGCCCGGAUUUAUUGGGUUUAAAGGGUGCGUAGGCGGCCUAUUAAGUUAGGGUUCAAAACGUUCGGCUUAACCGGAUACCCGCCAUUGAUACUGAUAGACUUGAGUGCGACAGAGGGUGUUGGAAUGUGUGGUGUAGCGGUGAAAUGCUUAGAUAUCACGCAGAACACCAAUUGCGAAGGCAGAUGCCUAUGUCGUAACUGACGCUGAGGCACGAAAGCGUGGGGAGCAAACAGG
Molecule: ribosomal RNA, 253 nt
Filed under: uncultured bacterium
Lineage: Bacteria
Description: partial 16S ribosomal RNA
Rfam family: Bacterial small subunit ribosomal RNA
Source: RNAcentral